Non-coding RNA from Podarcis lilfordi (Lilford's wall lizard), 1227 nucleotides. The record is from the annotation of a GenBank genome assembly. NCBI's taxonomy places the organism in Eukaryota, Metazoa, Chordata, Lepidosauria, Squamata, Lacertidae.
GACUAAUUGCAGUCGUUAACAAUCGUCAACAGGUUUACCAUAUACCCACUGAGUCAAUCACCCAUCUGAGAGAUCUUUCUUCUUCUUUGGUGAUCACUCGUAGCCAAGUAAGAUUGUCUUCUAUGAACAUGGUCUUAAUGGUUAGUCCAUAAGUGACUGUGGAGGCCAAUUCUAGAUCCACACAUCCUUCUACAGUGGGGACAUAGGUUUCCGGGUGGGAGUUGAUCACGGUGAAGGUUUGCCAAACAUGCCACCUUCUUAGCACGUUUCUACCUUUCAUCCUGAGUCUGAGUGUCUUCAAAGCCCAUGACACCUUUGGUAAAGGCUGUUCUUUAGUUGGAGCGCUUGCAGGCCAGUGUUUCCCAAUUGUUGGUGUUUAUACUACAUUUUUUUAGAUUUGCCUUGAGAGAGUCUUUAAACCUCGUUUGUUGACCACAAGCAUUACUAUUUCCAUUUUUAAGUUUGGAAUAGAGGCAUCUGAAUAAAGCUGAUGUUGAAGAAUCAUUGCUUUGACACUUGUGAUCUUUGCUUCUUCCAGUACACUGACAUUAGUUCGCCUGUAUUCCCAAGUGAUAGGUACAUUUUUUUAGAGACAUCAUUGAUGGAAUCUUUUGAGGAGUUGGAGAUGGCGUUUAUAAGUAGUCCAUGUUUCACAAGCAUACAGUAAGGUUGGUAGUACAAUAGCUUUGUAAAAAAGUAUUUUGGUUUCCCUGCGAUUAUCCCAGUCCUCAAAAACUCUUUACUUCAUUUGGGGAAAAGCUGCACUCGCCAAGCUCAGGCAAUGCUGGAUUUCAGCAUCAUUGUCGACCCUUGUGGGAAGGUAACUGCCCAGGUACUCUCCUGUGGAUUCCAGCAACCGUUAUUCAGAAUCAUAUUUCCUCUGACAGUGGCCCUCAGGAUUAGUAGCCAUUGAUAGCAUUAUCCUCCAUGAAUAUUUUGAAUCACUUGACUCCUGGAAGUGAGAGCUGAAUAAAUCUCAUCAAGGGGAGGCUCACAUGUUAACUGUAUGCAGUCUGAGCCAUAUUGAGCAAGAUUGUUUUAGCAGCUCCUUGAUGAGAUUUGAUUUUCAGUGCUGUGACUCAUAAUGUGUUGGGCCUUAAUAAUUGUUUCUCGUUCCUCUUUCCUUUGGCAGAUAGGUAGUCACAGACUGACACAUCUGAAAAAGUAACCUCAUGCAUGUUCUACGUGCGGCUGCCUGCGGGAUGGACUUCUGAAUGAAGAUGCACA